Molecule: long non-coding RNA, 7642 nt
Filed under: Salvia miltiorrhiza (redroot sage)
Lineage: Eukaryota; Viridiplantae; Streptophyta; Magnoliopsida; Lamiales; Lamiaceae
Description: long non-coding RNA (SMIL_LNC007588)
Source: RNAcentral
UGGUUAUGCUAAUUCUUUUGUAUAUUUUUUAUAUUUUUAUGUGGUACUUUUCUCUCUAAUCUUGGUUAUUCUAAUACUUGUGUAUGAUUUUUUUAUGUUUUUAUGUGGUACUUUCCUUUCUAUUUUGUUCAGUUUUUUGCUAUAUAUUUACAUUACAACUCAAAUACAAUAUAAAAAGUAUCUAAUAUUUAUGAAUUUUGCUGCAGAUCAAGACUGGAGCAUAGAAUCUGCAAAAGCCAAUGGAGCACAAAAUACUGUAAAAGACCAACACAAAAAAAAGGUUUAAGUAGCAUAUUCAAGAUUUUCAGCAAGUUGGUAUGAAGAAGAAAAAAUUUCAUAUCACCCAUAAAAGAGUUCCCUCAUGUUAAUGAUACAUUUCGAUAGGUUUCAAAAUCAAGAUUAUAUUUGUAUAUUUAUAAUCUACAUUGCAAAUUUUGAUUGAGGACAAAGAAAUACAAGCAUGUGGAUAUAUUUCAUUUUCAUUAGUUUUCUAUUUAUUUGUCUCAAGAACAGUAUUAAAUACAAAAAAAAGUUCAUUAUAUAUGUUUAUGUGAAUGCUUUCUUUCAUUGUAUUUACUGAUUUCCAUGUAAAGCAAACUCAUUAUAAUUGUGAAAAUAAUGUAAACAGCUAUGUUACAGAAACUAUAUUUUCAACAGUGCAUGUGGCGAGACUCCGAGUUGAUGAUAAUACCUUAUAGUGGUGGAGGUGGCAAAACUGAGAGUGCAUAUGAAAGGUGAAGAGUGAGGAAUGACGUGAGAUAUGGCAGCAUAUAACUGUUAAUCUGCAAAUUAACUCAAAUUAGAUUCAAAAUGCCAUAAAACAAAGUAAUCACCAAGUCUAAAAAGAGCACAACAGAGACACCAAAAAAAACUAUUCUGUAACUUAACAAUUUGUGUAGAUAUUCAUAGAUCUAACAUAAUAAUACCAUAAACACAAAAAUAUAACUCAAAACGAAAAAACUAAUAUGGAAAAAAAAUAAUAGAUCUUAUUCAAUAUUAAAAAACAAAGCAUCUUCCAANAAAAACACUUUUCAAACGAUAUUCCUAGAUCUACAAAACUGAUACUAUAAAAAAAAUGAAAAACUGAAAACUAAUAAACGAAAAAAAAUAGAUCUUAAUCAGUAUAAAAACGCUGGAAUUGGAAUUAAAGAUGCAAUCGAGGGAGACGGCCGAGAUCUGGAGCACUGGAACUGGAAUAAAAGAUGCAAAUAUGCAGUAGAGGGAGAAGGCCGAGAUCUGGAGCGGCUUGGGCUUGGGCGACGCCGUCGUUUGAAACACGAAGGGCGGUGGGGGGCGGUCGUAAGGAGUUGCCGACAUGAAUUUCAGAGAUAAGAGAGGAGAUUAGGCGAAAGCUAGGGUUUUAUUUUUGGGAGUGGCCAAAGACGCUGCUCGAUAAUAUGGCAGACGGUGAGAGAGAAGGUGAAUAUGGAGAAAGAUGGAAUUGAAGGGGAGAAAGAUGCAACGAGGGAGAAGAGGAAAAGGGUAAAUCUGGAGAUAGCGGCGCCGCUCAAUUGUGGUAAACCCUAAAAUGAGAUUGUGUUUACAUUAUUGUUAUGAAACAAUAGGGCCGAAUGACCCUAUUCAACAUACAACAUCAAAUUUUGUCCACCAUUUGAAAAAACAUAAAUUUUGGCCAUUUUUUGUAUGUCAUGACUAUUCUACCUUUCUCUCUCUCCUCUCUCUUUCUCUCUCUCUCUCUCUCUCACCUCUCUCUCUCUCAGCUCCUCUCUCUUUCUCUCCAGCUCGCUCUCUCAUCUCUCUCCAGCCGCCGCGCGGCAGCGGCGCCGAGCUUGGAGAAUUCGUCGGAGCUCUCGCGGCGGUGGUGGAGGAGAUCCUCCCUCUCUCUCUCUCUCCAGCGGCUGCCGCUCUCUCCUCUCUCUUUCUCAUCUCCCCCUCUCUCUCUCUCUCCAGCGCGCCGCCGUGGGCAGAAUUCGUCGGAGUAGAGGAUGAGGCGGCGGCGGCAGAUCUGGUCUGAUGAGGCGGCGACGGUGGAUCUGAUCUGAUCCUUGUGCCGCCUCCUCCAUCGGCAGAUCUGAUCUCCGCCUCCUUCGAUUUCAGCCAUGGCAGAUCUGAUCUGAUCUGUGUGCUGCACGUAUGGCACUUAUGGCAACCAUUGCCAUAAGUGCACACUUCCCCCUAGGGUUUAGAUAUUCCAUUUAGGGUUUAGAUUAUCCAUUUGAGGUUUAGAUGUUCCAUUUAGGGUUUAGAUGAUCCAUUUAGGGUUUAGAUGUUUCAUUUAGGGUUUAAAUGAUGUUGUUGUUUCUGUAUUUGUGCUACACGAAUGGCACUUAUGACACUAUUAGUGCCAUAAGUGCCCAAAAUGAUUAUUUUACUAUUUAUUUUAAUUUGGUAUGGCACUUGAUGGCAUAUAUAUUAGUGCCAUAACUGCCAAUGGAAAUCCAAAAUAAAACCAAAGUAAAAUCUUGGCACUUAUGGCACUAAUAGUGCCAUAAGUGCCUAACCCGACCCGGCACGCGGCCCGCGUGCCUGAUCAAAUCAAUAAAAAUUGCCAAAAUUUGUGUUUUUUCAAUGUGUGGCCAUAAAUUGUGUUUUAUGCUUCAUUUUGGUUACUUCAAAAUUUUACUCUUAUGUAGUUGGGUUGUUGUACAAAAUAAUUACUAAUAGUUGAGCUGUAUCUAUGGGCUUAUUGUGGGCUAGCCAUGUUACACCACCAAAAACCAGAUGUCGCCACCUCCAUGUGUAUCGAAAUAAAAUACAAUUCAAUUGUCUUUCAAAUAUAAAAGUGCAUGUACAAAAAAUAGUUUGGUGCAGAUUAAAAUCAAUAAAAUCCAUUUACAAAAAAAUAGAAUGUCAUUUAAAUCUGUUUACGUAGAAUGGGUGCUACUUUAUAUCAAACACCAAAAAGAAAAGAAAAAAGAAAAUAAAAGAUGAAGAAAUGAAAUGUUAUAAGUUAUGAUGAUAAAAUAAACUAUAGUGCAAAUUAAAUAUAUAAAAGUACAUUUAGGAAAUGAUAAAAUGCGAUUCAUUUUUUCUUAUAAAAAAUAGAUGCGACUAUUACAUAAUACUGAUUACGUCAAAAACUAACAACAGAGAAAAGAAAUAAAAAGCGAAGAAAUUGAAAUUUGCAAAUUACGUUGAUAAAUCAACUAAGAAUAAUAAAAAAUAAGUUUAGAAUUGCAUGAUGCAUAGGGUCAAAUUCAUGGUCAAUUACGAUCAGAAGAUGGGGCAUUCUUGUGUGCACCUGGGAGCACGAUUAUCAUAGCUCAAAAUUAUUUAUUUUCUUUACAAAAUUUAUUUGAAAAUUAUUACACUUUUAGUUGUGAAAAAAAAAAAAUUAUUAUUAUUAUUAUUAUUAUUAUUAUUAUUAUUAUUAUUAUUUAUUGAAUUUGUGAAUUUUUUUGUUCGCACCCCUAAUUGAUAAAAUGACUUUAAAAUUUAAAAUUUGAAAUUUGACCUUUAAAUAUAAGACUUACAUGCAUAACUAAAAAUUAUAUAAUUAUAGAUAUUAUUUGUAUAGUUAUUUAUAGUAAAAUAAAUAAAUAAUUUGAUUUGAAUAAGGAUACAUGCAUGAAACACAAAUUAUAACUAAUAAAUAAUUAAAAUAUUAUUUAAUGCAUGUAAUAAAAUUUAUAUCUAUAUGCAUGCAAUUUACAACAUACACGUAUAUAUAUAUAUAUUAUACUAAUUAAAAAAAUGAGUUUAAAACUAAUAGGUACAUAUAUAUAGUAUUUUAUAUACAAAGAUAUACAUCCCAUAUAAUAUGGUACACGUGUACACAUUCUAAAUUAGAAAAGAAGGCCUAUACAUCUAUAAAGCUAAACCUAUUUGAUGAUUAAUCAAAGCUAUGAAAUUUCAUGUAUAAAUAGAAUGUAAACCCAUUCUUAUUUCUUAAAUAGUACUACCAAAUAAAUUGAUUUUUCGAGCACUGUGAAAAUAAACAAAUCAAUUCAUACAUUUUAUAUAUAUAGCACAAGCACACACGAAUUACAUGCAAUAUAUAUCUAUAUAUAUAGAUUUACAUAACUGUAUAUUAUGUAUAAUAAUUAUAUUUAAAUUUACUUGAAUCUUUAUAAAUUGUUGCUCAAUUUUAUCAAAUUAGGUGGGGUGCGAUUAAAACGUUGAUUUUAAUUUGAGGUUCAAGUUAAUUUUCAAAGCUCACGUAUUAAAUGUGAGAUUUAUUUCAAUACAUGAUGCGAUUAAUCUUUGUCCAUUUUAAUAUUAUGUGUUUGUCAUAUGUGUUGUAAAUUAAAUUUUAUCGCUAGGGGUCCGCUCAAUGGGUCCAGGACUUCAGUAUCCUUGGUACGCAACAAUGCGAUUUCAUGUUACAGUUAAGGUUGCAACCUAUCGCCAGGGGCCUGCUCAAUGGGUCCAGGACUUUAAAGUCCUUGAUAUGCCACCGUGCGAGUACAAUGCAAUUUGUAUGUGUUGACCAUUUUAUUAACAUGGACAAUGAUUGCAUAUUUCCCACACUGAGUGUAUCUAGGGAUGGCAACGGGCCGGAUCUUAUCAGAUCCAGAUCCAGAUUCGUUUUAAUCUAUUAGAUCCAGGUCCGUCAGAUCCGCGGAUCCAGAUUCAUGGAUCUACUGUUUUUAAAUUAAAAUUAAAAAAAUCACAAAAUCAACAACAUCUAAUUGCUAUCAUGAAAAAUAUUGCACAAAAUACAUGCAUGCAACACAAAAUCUCAAAAUAAAAUAAACAUAAAAUAUAAAAAUAUAUAUUGUUUAUAAAAUAAACAUAAAAUAUACUAAAGAAUAAAAAAACGGAUCUAAAAAAUAUAAAAAAUAUUAUUAAUAAAAUAAACAUAAAAUAUUAUUAAUAAACAUAAUAUAUAAAAAAAUAUAAAAAACAUAAAAAUAUUAUUAAUAAAAUAAACAUAAAAUAACAAAAAUUGUAUAUUAAAUAAAACGGAUCCACAGGUCGGAUCCGGAUCUGAAAUUUUCAGAUCCAAAUUCAAAUCUGUUUUUAAAAUUGAGAUCCAGAUCUGUCGGGUCCAAAAAAAUGAGAUCCACACCCUGAAAAUCGGAUCCGAAUCUGUGAUGACCCGCUCUUUUAUAUAUAUUAUUUAAAUCCAGUAAUGCGAUAAUUAAUUAUUGCAUCUCUUAGUAAAGGGAAACCCAGUUGCCAGUUUAUAUGAAUUCAGCCGAUGUUCCUGAAUUUUUAUAUUUAUCAGAGUUAUUUGUUUUAUCGAUAUGCUUUUGAUUUCGCGUGAGAGAAAUCGCGACAUGAAUUAUUGAGCCAUUCAAUAAUUAUUAUUUCAAAGUUAUAACUGACUUAGCGAAGUCAUAUUAUUUAUUAAUCAAGAUGGAGCUAUCGUUUAUAUUUAAUUUAUCAUGGUUACUUGAGUCGGGAAUUUAUUCCGACUAUGAAGCAGAUUAAAUUUACGGAUUUAAUUGAUUGUUACAUUACAGUUUAUCAAUAUUAGCAAGGCGAGAAAUCAGAUAUCAAGAAGUUACAGAAACGCGAUAAUUAGAAUUCAAAACCAGUAUUUUAUUUACAGUACCAUACACGGUUACAAAUUAGUAUCUUCGGGUUGAGGGAUUAUUCUCGCAUACAUUAUAAUUUUGGACUUUACUUAGUCUUUUUUCCUAGAACACUUUAUUCUAGCAGAUUUUCUUAGAUUAACUCGGGGCUUUGACACAAAAGUCAAAGUUUAGAUAAAGACAUAUUGAAGGAAAGGGGUGUGUGCUGCAGAGAAAACAACUCUGCACUCCCUUCCCCACUCUGCACUCCCCACCUGUGCAACCAUCGACAAUGGUACUCUUCCAGUCGCCUUCCAAUGGCUCCCGUGUUCCCCCAAACCUCCGCACUCAGCCACCUUAUCUCUGCCCAUCUUGCUAGCAUACUCAAGUAUGCAGCAGUAAGUUCUUCUAUUAGUAUCAACCCAGCCAGUAAACAAUAUUCACUCCCAUCUUAUUUUCACUCCCAUCUUUAUUUUAUAUCACUUAAUAUAUAUUUAAAAUUAUAUUAUACUCUUAUUAUAUAUGAUAAAUACGUAUGAAUAAUCGGACUGUGCACUGUACACUCGAAUGCACUGUACAUCAGGGUGCACUGUACACCUGGGUACACUGUACAUCCGAGUGCACAGUCACAUCAAUUUAUAUAUUACACGUAUUAUGUAUCAUAAAUACGUUGAAAUAAUUGGACCGUGUGUAGCACGGGUAUAAUCAAGAUAACAAAUUGUUCGAUGGGAUGAUGUAUAUAAAAUAAUUAUUUUAUAUUUUAUGACAUACAUAAAAAAAUCUAAACUUUUCUUUUUUUAUUAUUUAAAUAAAAUUAAAAAAAUUGAUAUGUAGAAUCUUAAAACUUUUUUUUCAUAAGCCCAAUACUUUAUUUAAUGCUUUUAGUCCGUAUUAAUUACUUGAUCUUGGGCCUUCAUAUUUGUUGUAGGCCAAAUUAAAAUAAUAAAAAAAACUAUGAAAUUUGGUCCAUAUGUAGAAUUACUUUAUAUGCACACAGAUUUUUUAUGUUUUUUUAAAUAUUUUUAAUACAUAAGUUACCCAUUUAAUUAUUUAAUGCUUUAAGUUUAUAAAAGAAAAUAUAAUUCUAAAUAUAUAUUCGAUACAAUAUCAAAGUUCUUCCGUAUAUCAUUUUGUAGAGUCAAAGUACUUACAUAUAUCAUUUUAUGUAGUAAUAUAAGUAACGAAAUAUAAUUCUAAAUAUAUAUUUGUGUCGUAAUAUCAUUAUAUUUGUGUUGUACUAUCUUUUAAUAUGAACUGUAUGAUAUAAAAGUUAUUUGUUAUUUUAUUCCUAUUUUUUGUAUUAUGUAAUGUACAUGAUUAGUUUUGUUUAACCACUUUUCUAUUAUGUUUUGUAUCACUUUUGUUUUCUUUUUACAAUUCUAUAGUACCGCACUACCGCUACAAUACUUCACAAAUACGUAUCAAUAUUCAUGUCAUGCGAAGCGCGGGUAUGUUACUCUUAUUAUAUAUGUUGUGCGAAGCACGGAUAUGUUUUGUAUCACUUUUUUUUUUUUUUUGCUUUUUACAAUUCUUUAUGUUAUUGUUAUUAUAUAUGAUAAAUAUGUAUAAAUAAUUGGAUCGUGCGGAGCACGGGUAUAAUACUAGUCUUCUUUCAUGCCCAAGAAACCCCUUUUUGGUUGGUAGUAAAUCCAAAGCUUCCAUAAAGGCCACGAAAUUUCACCUUAACAAAUUAGUACUGUUACAAUUGUAAUACCGAAGAGCAACGAAAUUGAAUUCCUCAAUCAGACCCCUAAUUUUGACGAAAUGUUAGAACCAGAAGAAGAAAUUAUCAUACACCCCAUAGACUAUAACACUUAAAAAAUGAAAAACCAAAGAAAAUUGAGGAAGCAACGAAUUGACCUUAUAAGAAUGACGGCGGCGAUGGAAGCGCAUCGUGAAGGCUACAACGACAAUUAUGGCUCAGCAUUCAGGCGGACGGGGCGUCUCGAAGCCUGGGCAACGGCGAGGCUGGGCCUGGGGGAUGACAACUACGAGUCUACGAGCCUAGGGCUUGGGAGACGGCGAGGCUCAGCGGGGCCUGGGCGACGGCGUCGCGGGUCGGCUGGGACCUAAGCGACGACGACUACGAGCCUUAGAUCUGGGCGACGCCGAGGAGGGGCCAGGAGCGGCGCCACUUCUGCGGCUGGGGGACGGCAAGGCUAGGCGCAGAAGGGGCGGCGGGUGUGGGUGGGACCGUGGGAGGAAUGGGGGUGGCGGGUGUG